GUCGAGCGAGCUUGCCUAGAUGAUUUUAGUGCUUGCACUAAAUGAAACUAGAUACAAGCGAGCGGCGGACGGGUGAGUAACACGUGGGUAACCUGCCCAAGAGACUGGGAUAACACCUGGAAACAGAUGCUAAUACCGGGUAACAACACUAGACGCAUGUCUAGAGUUUGAAAGAUGGUUCUGCUAUCACUCUUGGAUGGACCUGCGGUGCAUUAGCUAGUUGGUAAGGUAACGGCUUACCAAGGCAAUGAUGCAUAGCCGAGUUGAGAGACUGAUCGGCCACAUUGGGACUGAGACACGGCCCAAACUCCUACGGGAGGCAGCAGUAGGGAAUCUUCCACAAUGGACGAAAGUCUGAUGGAGCAACGCCGCGUGAGUGAAGAAGGGUUUCGGCUCGUAAAGCUCUGUUGGUAGUGAAGAAAGAUAGAGGUAGUAACUGGCCUUUAUUUGACGGUAAAAACUUAGUUAGUCACGGCUAACUAGCGUGCCAGCAGCCGCGGUAAUACGUAGGUGGCAAGCGUUGUCCGGAUUUAUUGGGCGUAAAGCGAGUGCAGGCGGUUCAAUAAGUCUGAUGUGAAAGCCUUCGGCUCAACCGGAGAAUUGCAUCAGAAACUGUUGAACUUGAGUGCAGAAGAGGAGAGUGGAACUCCAUGUGUAGCGGUGGAAUGCGUAGAUAUAUUGAAGAACACCAGUGGCGAAGGCGGCUCUCUGGUGUGC
RNAcentral lists this ribosomal RNA (717 nucleotides) under uncultured bacterium. RNAcentral's name for it is "bacterial SSU rRNA". It matches the Rfam family "Bacterial small subunit ribosomal RNA", at positions 61 to 737 of the family's 1533-position model. The record is from RNAcentral.